Molecule: ribosomal RNA, 468 nt
Filed under: uncultured bacterium
Lineage: Bacteria
Description: partial 16S ribosomal RNA
Rfam family: Bacterial small subunit ribosomal RNA
Source: RNAcentral
GACGAACGCUGGCGGCGUGCUUAACACAUGCAAGUCGAACGGAAAGGCCCUGCUUUUGUGGGGUGCUCGAGUGGCGAACGGGUGAGUAACACGUGAGUAACCUGCCCUUGACUUUGGGAUAACUUCAGGAAACUGGGGCUAAUACCGGAUAGGAGCUCCUGCUGCAUGGUGGGGGUUGGAAAGUUUCGGCGGUUGGGGAUGGACUCGCGGCUUAUCAGCUUGUUGGUGGGGUAGUGGCUUACCAAGGCUUUGACGGGUAGCCGGCCUGAGAGGGUGACCGGCCACAUUGGGACUGAGAUACGGCCCAGACUCCUACGGGAGGCAGCAGUGGGGAAUAUUGCACAAUGGGCGGAAGCCUGAUGCAGCAACGCCGCGUGCGGGAUGACGGCCUUCGGGUUAUAAACCGCUUUCGCCUGUGACGAAGCGUGAGUGACGGUAAUGGGUAAAGAAGUACCGGCUAACUACGUG